This 406-nucleotide ribosomal RNA is filed under the name uncultured bacterium. RNAcentral describes it as "partial 16S ribosomal RNA". It matches the Rfam family "Bacterial small subunit ribosomal RNA", at positions 30 to 526 of the family's 1533-position model. The record is from RNAcentral.
AUUGAACGCUGGCGGCAGGCCUAACACAUGCAAGUCGAACGAGUGGCGGACGGGUGAGUAAUGUCUGGGAAACUGCCUGAUGGAGGGGGAUAACUACUGGAAACGGUAGCUAAUACCGCAUACCAUCAGAUGUGCCCAGAUGGGCUUAGCUUGUUGGUGGGGUAACGGCUCACCAAGGCGACGAUCCCUAGCUGGUCUGAGAGGAUGACAAGCCACACUGGAAGUGAGACACGGUCCAGACUCUUACGUGAGGCAGCAGUGGGGAAUAUUGCACAAUAGGCGCAAGCCCGAUGCAGCCAUUUCGCGUGUAUGAAUAAGGCCCUCGGGUUGUAAAGUACUUUCAGCGGGGAGGCGUUACCCGCAGAAGAAGCACCGGCUAACUCCGUGCCAGCAGCCGCGGUAAUUC